UUAAUGUUGACUGUACUGAAUGACGAGUGCAUAGUGUAAUGCAAACUGUCAGUAAUGUUGACGAUUGCAGGCCUACUGACGAGUGCAUUGUGUAGUAAACAUCCUUUCCCCAUCCUCAUGUGACAUGGUUUCAUUCUGUAGGCAAAACAACAAACCACACUUCACCUGGAAAACACAGCCAGGACUCACUGUCAGAUGUCUGAAAAUGUACAGUACACGCCAGCAGGUCUCACCAUAGUCAACAUCAUUAAGGAUUUGACUCUCUGACCUGAGAAGAGGCCCCAUAAACACACCUGACAAGGACCAGCCACUGUUGCCAGUGCACAACUGAGGACCUGACCAGCCUGCUGCCAUCUAUGAUACUAUAUAGUACCCGCGGAGGUGUCUGAAGACGUGGAGUACACUGCAGCAGGUAUCACAUGACCAAGGACUUGGACAACGUCUCUGUUUACAUCUAUAGUGUAUUACACAACUGAAGAUGUGCACAGUACGCUGCUGCCUGCAUCCUACCACCACAGAGGAUCCGAUGUGCAGAACCAGCUUCAAAAGCCAUUGCAAUUAUGAAACACAGUUAAUAAAUGCUUAUAUACAGCAGCCCGCACAUUUUGUUUAAUUUGUUAUAUUGGUUAACCACACUAUUGUUACAACACAAUGCAGGUGGUACAUGCAUUGGCAGGUAUCAAUAAAAAGAAAUGUAUGGAGCAUAAUCAUAUUGGGAUAGAGCAGUGGUUCCUAACCUAUGGGUCAGGACCCAACUUAUGGGUCGCCAAAGAUCCACAGUGGGUCGCGAAGCCCUCUUGAUUUUAAGGGGUUUCGUUUUAAUACCAUAUAGCCCAUGUUGAAUAUAUGACAAAGUAAAGCUUUUAAACUGAUAUAU
Molecule: long non-coding RNA, 877 nt
Organism: Engraulis encrasicolus (European anchovy)
Lineage: Eukaryota; Metazoa; Chordata; Actinopteri; Clupeiformes; Engraulidae
Exons: 4
Source: RefSeq, a predicted model, not a curated record